GUUUAAGUUGAUUCGAACAAAAUUCUAACCUAAAAUUUUUUUCAGUUCCCGAAUUCCACGUAACAAGUCUGAACUUUCAAUCGAUAUACAUAAAAUUAAAUUCUCUCAGGGAUUAAUUCAACAAUUCAACCGAUUUUAAUAUUUCCAAACAAGACGUAUCAAGACAUCACUAUUACCAAUCUCAUCUCCACCUAACAUCCUGCCAAUCUAAUCGGUCGUUGGUUUACGUUGUUUCGCAGCCAGUGUAAUUACGGUUGCACCACGGUGGAUAUGGCGGCCACCACGCCUCCGGUGAAAGGAUGAUCGAAACGAAACGGAUCGACUCGAAGGAGAAAAAGAGAGAGAAAUAAUCAGAGAGGCGAUACGUGGCCACCGGUGAUUUCAGUCGGCCGGUAGGUCGAUCCAGCCCCAGGAUAACCUGCCGAUGAACCGUAAACCAGGAACUUAUUACCAAGCCGUGUAGCUCGCGCUCCAACUUCGCGGAUGCUUUAUUAUUACGACUACCAGCGACGUGUGUGCAAUCGUGGCGGAUGUUGCACGUGUUUCUAGCAUCCGAACGACACGCCACGUAUGGAUAGAGAGAAAGAGAAAGAUGGAAGAGCUUAUUUGCACCGAGAAUGAACUGACUCGUGGCUGCUGCCUCCUAGGGUUUCUAAUUGGGAACCGAAGCCGGGGAUACAGGGAGAAGAUUUGAGAUUGGUUUACCAAUCCGAACAGGUAAAAGUUAAUGCUUCGUUAUAGCGCUGUUGGAGAUGAGAUAUCGAGGUAUCUUUUGCUACUCGAGUAAUCGGACAGAGUUCUUACUCUAUAUCUGAGUAUUUCGAAAUUUUGACUCGUCGACUUCUACUCAUAAUCGUAUCUCCAGGUAAUAAAAGUUUUCCUAUUAUUCGUAUAUUCGCAUUUAAAUUGAAUAAUAAAAGUUUCAUAAUAUCCACAGAGAUCGAAAAAACGUUCCAGUGAAAAAUCGAAGAUAUUUGGAAGAAAAAGAGAAUAGGCUUCUUACUGUACAGAUGUAAUAAUUUUAAAAAUUCGUAUCUUCGAGUAAUGAAAGUUUAUUUGUACAUUCUAAAUCAAAAUGACUGAAAGUUCGAAUAACACACGCAUAAUAUUCAAAUAGUAUUCCAUUCGAAAAAUCGAACUUUUCAUUACUAAAAUCAUAAUGGCGAUCACGUUGACGUAUUCUUCUUGCGGCAAAAGCUUCUUACCAAGACCUUAUUAUUAUCCAUAUCGGUGGAAUCGUUGGUUUUUGCCAGUUGAAUUACCAACCAAUGCAACAGCCAGGGAAUUACACCGGUGCAUUAGCUGCAACCGAGUUUAUUGCUCUCGGUUAACGACCUGAGUCGAGCCAUGAGUAAUAAUUACGUUCCUACAUUUCUUUCCGCGAUUCUAUACUGUCCCAUUGUUGGCUGCUGGGGCCAAUUUUCCUCUACACGCUCCACAACAACAACUUCUGGGUCGAAAUCUACUCUCCAAUCCGUCGAUUUAAUUAUACGAUAAAUUCAAUUCAGACGCGACUCGUAUUGACUGGCAAUUCAUAUUGACUUCUAUGAGAAAUGAGAUGUAUAGUGAAAACAGCAUCAGGAAAUGGCUGGAAGAUUGUGCUUAUAGUCGAUAAUUAUAUACCGAGCACAAUAGCAAUCGUGUAAAACGAAGCGGAAUCUUAAUAUUGAUGUUGCAUAAUGUUGCGAAAUAAUUUCAAGUUUCUUAGAGUAUUCGCUUUACGAUUCGUUUUUCUGAUUGGAAUACUUAAUUAUCAUGCAA
Long non-coding RNA from Apis florea (little honeybee), 1761 nucleotides. Lineage: Eukaryota; Metazoa; Arthropoda; Insecta; Hymenoptera; Apidae. The record is from RefSeq and is a predicted model, not a curated record.